This 225-nucleotide unclassified non-coding RNA is filed under the name uncultured Thelephoraceae. RNAcentral describes it as "sequence contains ITS2". The record is from RNAcentral. RNAcentral also lists the same sequence under 1 other name. Lineage: Eukaryota; Fungi; Basidiomycota; Agaricomycetes; Thelephorales; Thelephoraceae.
AAUUCUCAACUGCUUUGGCUUUUUACGGGCUGAAGUGAAGUUGGAUUUGGAGGAAUAAUUGCUGGCGUGACCUUUUUAGGUUGCUUGUUAGCUCCUCUUAAAUGGAUGAACUUUCCAGUAGUAAAGUAACACCAAUGUGAUAAUUAUCUACGUUGGAAUAAGCUUGCAUAAGGAAAGAUGAAAUCUGCCUUGGAGGGAAAACCCCCUUGAUGAAACAAAUGACAA